AGUGGAUGGGGAGCAACCUAGUUGUGCGUGUGUAAAGGUAGUGCCAAGAAAAGCGAUGAUCAUGUUGAAAAUCAAUUCCCGGUACCCGAAACCGACACAGGUGGGCAAGUAGAGAAUACUAAGGGGCGCGAGGUAACUCUCUCCAAGGAACUCGGCAAAAUGACCCCGUAACUUAGGGAGAAGGGGUGCCACCGAGAGGUGGUCGCAGUGAAGAGGCCCAGGCGACUGUUUAGCAAAAACAUAGGUCUCUGCAAACUCGAAAGAGGAGGUAUAGGGGCUGACGCCUGCCCAGUGCCGGAAGGUUAAAGAAGUUGGUCAGUUUUAGGAUGAAGCUAGCGACUGAAGCCCCGGUGAACGGCGGCCGUAACUAUAACGGUCCUAAGGUAGCGAAAUUCCUUGUCGGGUAAGUUCCGACCCGCACGAAAGGCGUAACGAUCUGGGCGCUGUCUCGGAGAGAGGCUCGGCGAAAUAGGAUUGUCUGUGAAGAUACGGACUACCUGCAUUUGGACAGAAAGACCCUAUGAAGCUUUACUAUAGCUUGGAAUUGUGUUCGGGCUUCCUGUGCGCAGGAUAGGUGGGAGGCGUAGAAGGUAUUCUUGUGGGGAUACUGGAGCCAACGGUGAGAUACCACUCUCAGGAGGCUAGAAUUCUAACUUAAUUAAGGACAGUUUCAGGUGGGUAGUUUGACUGGGGCGGUCGCCUCCAAAAAGGUAACGGAGGCGUACAAAGGUUCCCUCAGACUGGUUGGAAAUCAGUCGAAGAGUGCAAAGGCAGAAGGGAGCUUGACUGCGAGAAGUACAGUUCGAGCAGGGUGGAAACACGGUCUUAGUGAUCCGACGGUGCUGUGUGGAAGGGCCGUCGCUCAACGGAUAAAAGUUACUCUAGGAUAACAGGCUGAUCUCCCCCAAGAGUUCACAUCGACGGGGAGGUUUGGCACCUCGAUGUCGGCUCAUCGCAACCUGGGGCGGAAGUACGUCCCAAGGGUUGGGCUGUUCGCCCAUUAAAGCGGUACGUGAGCUGGGUUCAGAACGUCGUGAGACAGUUCGGUCCAUAUCCGAUGUAGGCGUGAGAAUAUUGAGAGGAGCCUUCCUUAGUACGAGAGGACCGGGAAGGACGCACCGCUGGUGUACCUGUUAUGAUGCCAAUUGUAAACGCAGGGUAGCCAAGUGCGGAGAGGAUAACCGCUGAAAGCAUCUAAGUGGGAAGCCCACCUCAAGAUGAGUAUUCUGGUGUAAGGUCACGGGAAGACGACCCGUAAAUAGGCACGAGGUGGAAGUGCAGAGAUGUAUGAAGCCGAAGUGUACUAAUAGACCGUCGGCUUGACCG
This 1326-nucleotide ribosomal RNA is filed under the name metagenome. Its description in RNAcentral is "bacterial LSU rRNA". It matches the Rfam family "Bacterial large subunit ribosomal RNA", at positions 1561 to 2925 of the family's 2925-position model. The record is from RNAcentral.